AGUUGAUGAUUAUUGGAGAAUUGUGGAGAUUCUGCACAAGAGGUUUUUGAGAUUUGAAAGAAAAAAGUGGAGAAUUUCUUACAAUUCUCUCGUUGUGCUUGAACACUUGUUGACUCAUGGGCCUGAGAGUGUGGCAGGGGAAUUUCAGACUGAUAAAGAUGUUAUCAGGGAGAUGGAAAGCUUUCAAUAUAUAGAUGAGAAGGGAUUCAACUGGGGGCUUGCUGUUAGAAAGAAAUCAGAAAGAAUAGUGAACCUGCUUGAGAAAGAACCUCUUCUUAAAGAAGAGAGGGAGAGGGCUAGGAAGCUGACUAGAGGAAUACAAGGAUUUGGUAGCUUCUGCCACAGGUCUUCUUCAGCACAAGGAAUUCUACGGGAACCAUCACAUGAAACAUUUGCAAGAAGCAAUUCACAGUUUAACCAGCAUGAUUCUAGUGAAAAUCAGCAUUUGUUCUCAAAUGGAGAAAAUUUGAUAAAAAAAGAUGAAACGUCCAAGAGAAGCUCUGAGGAUGCAACUUCUGAGUUGGGCAACAGAAGUCAGAAUUUGAAUUCUGCUGAUAAUUUCAGCAAAAACUGGAUGCUUGAGAAGGCUGAAACAAGUUUCAAAGAGAACAUGGCUCCUAACAAGGAAGAGUUACAUGGAUGGAAUCUCAUAGGGGAGAAUAAUCCACUCUUUGAUGGCAGAAGAGAUGAACCAAAGAUCAUAGAAGAAGAUCAUCCUUUUAGUGUUACCGAGAAGGAAACUAGUGCUUCCCUUCUUUCAGCAAGAGAAGGAAUCCUACAAGGAGUAUAGAAUUUUCACUGAAGCAGAUGCUGCGUCUGCAAAAUUCUCAAUAGUAUGUUAUCAGUUGCCAAGAUUUGUUGUUCUUAUCAUCAUGUGUUGCAGGAUUGAUAAUAUUUGUCCUCCACAGAAGAAUCAGGUAGCAUUUGAGUCAUGCUGUGCUAAUGUAUACCAUAUGUUUGUUUAGCACUAUAUCAAUCUCCCAUCAAAACUUUUAUGAUUGAGAAAGUCCUGUUUCAAAAUUAGCGUUUUAUGAGUGCUUUGACCAUUGUGUGUGGGGAUGUUGUAGGCAACGCAAAACAGAAGGAUUGCAAGGCCAGAAGGGUUUGAUUCAAGGAUUUGCAUUGCCUACAACAUCCACACAAUGGUUCAAAGCAUUCAUAAAAGGCAAAUGAUUCCUAGCACAUAGACGAAGAAGUAAAUGACUAAAAAAUCCUCGUACAAAAUGUUACAAAAAUCACUUAUCUGUUAUGCAUUUUAUUUACAAAGAUGCAGCAGGGACGGCAUAUAAUUCACAUCUGUACAUGAUUACAACACGAAAUACUACAUUCAUGAAUCAAUGGGAUUUUAAGAUUUGCAUAGCCAGUCUUGAAUUGCAAGACGCAGCCCAUGGUUGGGAAUAAGAUGCAAGUGACUCAACUUCAAAUUAGUCAUUGGAGAUGUUUCCCGGCCAUUUUCCAACCAUCCACGUAUGGCUUCACCUUCAUAUGUGAAACCAUCAGCUGCCAACUGGGGAUCAUGCAUUAUUUCCUGAAAGAAUUCAUUAGAUGUGUAAGCCACAUGGUGUAAAAUAUGUCACCAUUACUGCUAAUACAGAAAACCAGGCCACGACACUUUUGCUCCAUGGUAAUCACAGUAAGCAUUGCACCUUGGCAGGCCAAGAUAAUUUAUCCUCGAUACAGGUCAAAGAAUCUAUAAUCAAAGCCUAACCAUGCCAAGCCUUUCACAGAUAGUGAUUAAGAAAGUGAUAAAAUUAAGCAGAGUGAGGAAAAAUAUCUGCGCUUGCAAAUCUGUUGUGCGCAAAUGGUACAAUCAAGUUAUACUCGAUUUCAUUAUACAAAUUUGUGUCAUCUACAUACCUGAAGAAUAGGACACAAGAAGAAAGAUGGCACUAGCCGCUCUUCUGAAACAUGCAACUGCUCCAAUUCCCUCACUAGAGCAGGUGUCAACUCAGGUCUCUCCCUGCUACACAAUUCACAAAACUGCAGACCCAAUUCCGCCAAUCUUUUCGCAACAAAUAUUGGCCAUUCUCCAGCAGAAGGAUCCAAAAUUGAGGAUAAUUUCCCACAUGACAUUGUUCUUCGCACCUCACCUACCAACCCAACAGGAGGCCUUCCAGUAAGUAGCUGUAGAAUGAUGACCCCAAAAGAAUAGAUAUCAGACUUGGUUGUCAGCACUCCCACUCUUUGGAACGCUGGAUCCAUAUAUGAAAAAGCACCUUUUGGCUCAGUGCCCCUUCGAAAACUAGGGCAAUAAAGAGUAUCAUCCGUUACCAGCCUGCAAAUUCCAAACUCACAUAUUUUGCAGCUAAGUUCAGAAUCAAGUAGGAUAUUUUGUGGUUUCAGAUCACCAUGGACAAUUUUUUCAGGUUUAGAAGAAUGCAAGAAGCAAAGUGCACUUGAGAUUUCAGCUAUAAUCCGUGCUCGGACUUUCCAUGUCAAGGGAGAAAUGUUGUUCUUCCUGAAGAGGCAAUCCUGGAGGCUCCCAUUGGGCAAGUACUCGUAUACAAGAGACCAUGCUUCUGGGCAUGCCCCAAGCAAAGUCACCAGAUGAGGAUGUUGUAAUUUGCCAAGAACUUGAACCUGCAUCAACAAAUAAUUGAGGUCACUUUAGAUAUACCAUGGGAGAUAAGGGGUAGUAGGCAAUCUAUUCAAAGAAAAACAUUUUUUGGAUAAGUUUUUAAAAGCCAUACCUGGAGAUUUUAUCACAGGGUAGUUGGACCCUGAAGUGCAGCUAAGAUUGUGAGCAAUACAAAUAAUUGCUACCAGCAGUUUGAUAUGGGUACUCAAAUAUUCCUAAAGUUGUCAAAGUUACCUAAACACUAGUCUUGUAUACCAAAGCUUUGAUACUUGUUCCAGUACUUAAGAAACUAAACUAUACAGAUCAUCUCCAAAUAAUUGUCAAACACACAGGGAUACUGAAAGUGCGCAUGUAGACCAAGUGGUGGCGAGUACUUUUCUAGUCAUGGCUACAACCAGACCAGUGUUAACUGCCAGGAUGGCUAAGAUAUUCACAAAUGAGUAACAGAAUAGGUAUACACUACAGGGUCCAACAAGCACUUGUUAUAGUACAAAAAGAAAAAAAAAAUCAAAAGGAGUACCUUCUUCUUCCUCGAAAUCUUCCAGGAAACCUCAAGCUCUUGAAACAAUUGUUAUGCUAUUUAGAUUUUAAGAAAGAAAGCAGAGCAGCUGACCUCUUUUUGAAACUCUGACUGCCCUUGCAUGUUAUUUGGAUGCAGCUUCUUUAUGGCAACAGUUCUACCCAACAUUUCUCCUUUGUAAACAUAACCAUAUCCUCCCUGCCCAAGUUUGAAGCUUUCAGAGAAAUUGAAUGUUGCAGUUUGCAAAUCAGAUAAUGAAAAUUCUGCUAACUUGGGCAUAUCUUCAACAAAACCAAGCAGCCCAUUACAGUUUGGAGCUCCAGCUUGCCUGUGAUUUUUCCAUCGCUCAAGCCAAUGUGCAGCUUCUAUUUUCUGCCGUCGGAUCCUCUGCUUUUCUUGCCAUAGAGAUGCAAUGGAAGUUUGAAUGAGUUUCAAUUCUCCAUCAACUUCAUCCCGCCUACGAUUUGCUUCUCGUACACGACUGUCCAGAAGAGCAACAUUUCUCAUGGUCCUCUGUAGCUCUUUAGUUACUUCAUCUUUCUCUUCCAAGAAUUUUUCUUGUUCCUCUAUUGUAUGUCUUAGUGCAUUCUCAGCUUCUUUUCUAUGUUUAACUUCAUUUGCAUAGGCAGAAUCAAAGAUUUUGACCUUGCUGAUGGCUUCCAAAGUUUGGAAUUCCAAUUUUUUGCGCUUCACCAGUUCUUCAAAUGCUUCAUUCCUAGAUGCUUCUGCUUCUAUCCUUGCUUCUUCCAGCUGAAAAUAUAAGCUGUCUUCCUCAAGCUUUGAAUCAGACUCUGAAGACAUUCUUCUUUCUGUAGAUGUGCCAGAGCUACUACUUCUAGGACUAAAUGAACUCUGGAUAGAGUGGGUAAAACAUGUAUUGGUAGAACCAGAUCUAGCCACUUUUGCAUAGGUUGAGUCACUUUGAACCCAAUGGCUAAUUCGGUCACAAGUUACACCUGUAGCAGAAGUGGACCUAAGAUAUUCUGGAUGGAAUGGCAAUGCAUUCUUGCUACACCGAAGUGACAUAGACCUUAAAGUUUCUGUACUCGCACCCCCUGCACGAUCACAUGAUGGUAAAAGACUUGAAUUUUCAGAAGCUUCUCUUGUCCACACAUGUUUCCCUUUGUUGAUAAACCAUAUUUCACAGAAUAAAGGAGCACUUUUAGCAACAUAAUUAGCUUUGUUGGAACUCUUUUUCACCUUCAUGCAAUUUUCAGGUGCAACCCCCAUAACAAGCAUCCUAGCACCAUGUCUGUUUACCAAUUCUACUAUUCCCUUCCGAACUUGGUCACAAUCAGUUGUGAUGAUACUAGCUUCAACCUUAGCUUUAUGACAAACGGCCAAGUAAAUUUCUAAAAGCUUCUUUGACUGUUCCCGUUCUUGCCUUCUAUGUGCUGAAACUACUUCAGCAUUUGCUUGACUUGCUGGUAGUUUUCCCAGUAGAGUUGGUAUCAGAGGAGAGGGCUGGUGAACAUAAAGGAUACAAAUUUCUCUGCUCCCAAAGCGUUUAAAGCUCCAGUGAAGCAAACCUACAGUUUUCUCAAUAGAUUUACCCACAGCCACAUACACUUUCUCACCAUCACCACUACCACCGCUACCACUAAGACACCCACCUUCUUCAACAAUAUCUGGCAACUGGGAACUAACAGUCCGGUCAAACCCAACCAGGAAAGCUCCCGGAGAAGACAACCCAGAAAGGGAUUCCCGGGAGGGGUCAUGAAGAGGCGGGUGUGCGGGAUUCAGAAGCUCCAUAAUUGGAGGAAAGACACAGAGGGUUUGGAGAGCGAUGGCAGCUAAUAGCUUUGGAUUGGCAACUAUGAAUGAUAUUUUGGCUUUUGUUUGUGUUGUGCGCUUGCAAUAUUCUUCAUAAAUUGCAAGAAAGUAUCAGAAUUUGUUUGAAAAUGAAAAUUUUCUUUUCUUUUCUCUCGCUUUUUUUAGUGCUUGUUUCGAAGAAAAUUGAAGAGGAGAGGCCGUCGAGCGCUUGACUUUUUAGGUUGACUUACAAG
This 5104-nucleotide unclassified non-coding RNA is filed under the name Hevea brasiliensis (rubber tree). Lineage: Eukaryota; Viridiplantae; Streptophyta; Magnoliopsida; Malpighiales; Euphorbiaceae. The record is from RNAcentral.